This 481-nucleotide ribosomal RNA is filed under the name uncultured bacterium. RNAcentral's name for it is "bacterial SSU rRNA". It matches the Rfam family "Bacterial small subunit ribosomal RNA", at positions 30 to 503 of the family's 1533-position model. The record is from RNAcentral.
AUUGAACGCUGGCGGCAGGCCUAACACAUGCAAGUCGAGCGGCAGCACGGGAGCUUGCUCCUGGUGGCGAGCGGCGGACGGGUGAGGAACACGUGGGAAUCUACCUAUUGGUGGGGGAUAACUUGGGGAAACUUAAGGUAAUACCGCAUUAUCCCUACGGGGGAAAGCAGGGGACCUUCGGGCCUUGCGCCGAUAGAUGAGCCCGCGUCGGAUUAGCUAGUUGGUAGGGUAAAGGCCUACCAAGGCGACGAUCCGUAGCUGGUCUGAGAGGAUGAUCAGCCACACUGGGACUGAGACACGGCCCAGACUCCUACGGGAGGCAGCAGUGGGGAAUAUUGGACAAUGGGGGCAACCCUGAUCCAGCCAUGCCGCGUGUGUGAAGAAGGCCUUAGGGUUGUAAAGCACUUUCAGUGGGGAGGAAGGCUUCUGGCUAAUAACCUGGAGUACUUGACGUUACCCACAGAAGAAGCACCGCUAAUUU